RNAcentral lists this long non-coding RNA (7012 nucleotides) under Capsicum annuum. RNAcentral describes it as "long non-coding RNA (CANN_LNC002726)". Lineage: Eukaryota; Viridiplantae; Streptophyta; Magnoliopsida; Solanales; Solanaceae. The record is from RNAcentral.
GGGGUAGGGGUAGGCCGAAGAAGUACUGGGGUGAGGUGAUUAGGCGGGACAUGGAACAGUUACAGCUCACCGAGGACAUGACCCUAGAUAGGAAGGUCUGGAGGACGCGAAUUACGGCAGAGGAUUAGGGCCAGUUCUGGUCCCUAGAGUAGGGAAUUACUUGGUGGGGGUUUUAUUCUUGUCAUGAUUCCGUGUCCCGUGUUCCAUGUUGUAUUACGAAUCUGUGUGCUUUUCCUGCUUUCCUCUGCUUUAUAUUACUUAUGGGUGCCGUAUUUAUGUUAUGUAAUCUGCUUCUGUGCUGCACUAUGUGUUUGUGUGGUAUCUCGUGCCUUGAGCCGGGGGUCUAUCGGAAACAGCCUUUCUACUUCAUCAGAGGUAGAGGUAUGGACUGCGUACAUCUUACCCCCCAGACCUCACUAGGUGAGAAUACACUGGGUUUGUUGUUGUUGUUGUUGUGUUUGGUUGGUGAGUAGAGAAUAUUUUUUAGAAAAAUAUUUUCUAGUGUUUGAUUGAUGAGUGAAAAAUAUUUUUUAGAAAAUACUAUUAACUGUUAACUAGUAUAUCAGUGACUCUAACAACUCAACAAUUUGUAAGAAAUAAUUUAAGCAUAGCAAAUAAUAUCAAUAUCGAAUUCUAAAAUACUACAAUCACUAAAUUUAAGCAACUAUUAAUUAGCAAAUAUAGGAGACACUUUUCAAUAUUUAGUCAGGACAAUCUCAAGAUACUACAAUCAAUGGAAAUAUAACGGAACGACAAGCUUAUUCAAUCCCGAGAAGCAAGUUACAUCGAUGACAAGAUGAAAUAUGCAAUUAGCAAAAGUAACAUAGGUAAGUCUUUCUCUAUGAAUAUGAAAAUAACAAUACAUUCAACGGACAUUGGAAAUGGAAAAAAUUCGGGAUUUACUUUUUUUUAUUUCAAGCAGUGAAAAAUUGAAGCAAAGCACAGCGAAAAAUAUUUCCAAGUAAUAUAAAUUUUUGAGAAAUGUAAAUUUUUUGAGUCAUGUGAAAAUGAGUGUUGUUGGGGUGGGGAAAAGGGAUGGGAGUGGGGUCAUAAGUCUCAUUUGUCAUUUUCUGGAAAAUGACUUCCCUUGACCCAUGAGGGAAGUCAUUUUCCAUCAAAUGGAGGAAAAUGAGUUGUUGUGGAAAAUAUUUUCUCAACAUUUCAUUACAACCAAACAAGGGAAAAUUGGAAAACAUUUUCCAUCAUACCAAACACACCCUAAUUUCUUCAGCUUUUCCUGAAGGAAUUUCACCAUUAAGGCGAUUCAUUGACAUCUCCAAAUUAAUUAGUUUCUUUAGAUUUCCAAUUUCUUCCAAACCUUUUCCUUCAAGCCCACAAUUCGUUAAGUACUACCAAUUUAUUAAGAUUCAGAAUCAUCACUUCAGGAAAUGGCGUUCGAUCAAAUUGAUUAUCACCAAGGUUAAGUACUUCCAUGACGGUGUACACUUUGUCCAUCUCUGCAUUUACAUUCAGACCUUCAACAAAUGCAACACCGGAGCUUGGCUUUGUGGGCCCAAUCAUCUGUUAGCAAAACUUAGUUACUAAGCAAAUGGAAAACAAAUAAAAACUAAUGUUGGAUAGCAUUCCAUGGAAAUUGCAUAAAUAAUGAAGAAACAAUGAAUUUGACUCAAAAGCUAGAUUUCUUAGACUUUGACAUUGAAUUACUGAUGAUGCCAGUGAAACUAGAAAUUGAUGGGUGUUAGUGAAGAAGAGGAAAUGAAAAAAAUUGUGAAGAAAAAAAAUAAGAAAAGGCAAAAGAAUAAAAAUGUGGCAUGCCACGUGGAGUCUAUCUCAGCCAAAUGUUAGCCCGUGUGGACAUCUGUUAAAUAGAAGGGUAUAUUUACAUACUUCAGUAACGUCAGGGGCAUAUUUUUGACCCUAUAGUUUAACUAAGGACAAAUUUAGCCAAUUUAUGAAAGUAGAGGGGCAUUUUUGACCCUUUUCCCUUUUUAAUUCAAUCAAUGAUGAAUAUUUUGAGAAAGUGAUUUGGAUAAGUAAAGAGUUGCCAAAUGCACCCAAGGGUGUGGCCUAGUGGUUCAAUGAAGUUGGGAUGAGCACCAUGAGGUCUCAGGUUCAAUUCCCAGCAGAGACAAACACUAGGUGUUUUCUUCCCAUCUGUUCUAGUUUUGGUGGACAGAGUUACCUGGUACCUGUUGCUGGUGGGAGGUGGCAGGUAUCUCGUGGAUUUAGUCGAGGUGCGCGCAAGCUGGUUCGAACACCACGGUUAUCAAAAAAAAAAAAAGAGUAAAGAGUUGCCAAAUUGUUUCUUCUGACUCAGCCAUAGCUUUAUAAGCUUGGUAUAUCCUAAACACUAGAAGGAUAAUUGAGAUGUUAAAGUUUGUUGCUGUGCACUACAUUCAACUUAUUUGGGAAAUGGGCAUCUUCUGUUAAGUGAGAGAUGAAAAAUUAGAUGUUCAGUAAAAAGUAUUAUGGUUUCCUUGUAUCUUAGAUGCCAUCAACUUACUUUCAAAAGUUUGCUUAUCUUUCUUUUUAUUGUUUUUAUAAUUCUCAUAAAGAGAUCUUAACAAUUUUGGUUUUUGCAUUAUGAGGAAACUGUUCUUUUUGGAAGUUGUCUACUAGGAUAAGGACAGCCCAGUACACUAAAGCUACUGCUAUGCGCGGUGUCCGGGAAAGGGCCCCACCACAAGGGUGUAUCGUAUGCAGCCUUACCUUGCAUUUCUGUUAGAGGCUGUUUCCAAGGCUUCAACCCGUGACCUUCUGGUCACAUAGCAGCAACUUUACCAGUUACUCCAAGGCUCCCCUUCAAGUUGUCUACUAGGAUCAUCGAAUAUUUUUGAAACUGUGAAGUUUAUGGUGCAGAAUAAGAUGUGGAAUUUAGGCUUGAUAGUUUUAUGGUUUGUAUUUUUAGCUAAACUGAUUAUGCUGGAAAAUAUUAUUCUUAGGUACAACAGACUUCUAGCAAAAAGUUUGUUCCUGAAAUACCUAUACCCGAGUAUGUGGUGGUGGUUACAUAUGAAAGAGAUUAUUCACGCACUUUUGCUCAGCCAACAUCUUAUAUUCAUGCUAGAGGAGGUAUGUGAAGAACAUGAGUAGUAUUUGAUUUUACUUCAAAGUUGAUAGUACCUCGUGGACCUUACUAUAUGCUGUUUAUUCUUUGUCUAAACAAAAAGAUCUUACUGAAAUUUUGUUAAAUUGACUAUAGCCCGAGCCGAGAUUGGAGAAUUUGUUGAGUGCGAUCUUGACAAUGAGGAUGAAGAUUGGCUCCAAGACAUAAACAGAGAGAGAAAGGCUCUUGCAGCUGAAAUGUAAAAAUCAUACUGUUCUCUGACAUGUAUAUUGUGUUAUGUUCAUUGUCUAUUUAAUUGGUUGGUUGCUGUCUUUUGUUUUCAUUUUAAUCUCAAUUAAUGUACUUUAAUCACUACUAUCUGUUUCUUCCUUGUUGAACAAGUGCAGUUAUUGCACUGUUUAAUUUAAUUUUAUUUACCAAUAGUAUUUAUUGGAUGAAUAGUUGCACUUCUUUGGAUGGUGAAUUUUAGUCUUGUAACUAUUCAUUCAGUCAAAAAUUUAGAUGUGUUAAUGAGCUUAGAGGUCAGGUAGUGGAGGUGAAGAGGAUCAACGAUAGGUUGAUGACUAUCAAGUUGGUCAUUCGGGGGUUUACCCUGAACGUGUGUAGUGCCUAUGCGCCGCAUGUGGGAUCGGAGGGGGAGGAGAAGAUGCGGUUCUGGGAGGCCUUGGAGGACGUGGUGAGAGGCGUGCCCAGUUCGGAGAAGAUUGUGGUAGCAGGGGAUUUCAACGGGCACAUCGGGGCGCUACCGGGAGGCUUUGGGGAUGUGCAUGGAGGUUUUGGUUUUGGGGAGAGAAAUGAAGAGGGGGCGACCCUAUUGGAGUUUGCGAGGGCGUUUGGGCUGGUGGUGGUGAACUCGGGCUUCCCGAAGAAGGACGACCACCUGAUCACUUUUCGGAGCGCGGUAGCCAGGACCCAGAUUGACUUCUUGUUGCUUAGGAAAGGGGAUAGGGCGCUGUGUAAAGAUUGUAAAGUCAUCCCGAGUGAGAACCUUUCGACCCAACAUAGGCUCUUGGUUAUGGAUUUGGGUAUGAAGAAGAAUAAAAAGAGGAGGAGUAAGGAGUGUAGACCGAGAAUUAAGUGGGGCGGUUUGACGCCAGUGAAUGCGUGGGAGAUAGGGGAGAGGUUGGCGGGAAUGGGGGUGUGGGAGUGUAGGGGGGACGUGGAUAAUAUGUGGGACAGGGCGGCAGCGUGCAUCAGGGAAAAUGCAAGGGAGGUGUUGGGUGUUUCUAGGGGCCGGGCCGGACAUCAUCGGGGGGAUUGGUGGUGGAAUGAAGAGGUGGGGAAGAAAGUGGAGACCAAGAAAGAGUCGUAUGCUAAGUUGGUGGAAAGUAAGGACGAAGAGGAGAAGCGGGUAAACAGGAAAGAGUACAAGCUAGCGAGGAAGGAGGCGAAGUCAGCGGUCACGGCAGCUAAGACGGCUGCUUUUGAGAGCUUGUAUGCAGGGUUACAGGGGAAAGGAGGGGAGAAAAAGUUGUUCCGACUCGCUAAGGCUAGGGAGAGGAAGGGUCGUGACCUCGAUCAGGUGCGGUGCAUUAAGGGGGAGGACGGUAGAGUGUUGGUGGAGGACGGCCACAUAAAGAAGAGAUGGCAGUCGUACUUUCAUAGGCUCUUGAAUGACGAGGGGGACAGAGCUAUUGUGUUAGGGGAACUGGAGCACUCAGGGGAGUGUCGGGAUUUUAGCUAUUGUAGACGUUUUAAGGUAGACGAGGUUAGACAGGCAGUCCGCAGGAUGCGAAGGGGUAGGGCGACGGGGCCGGAUGAGAUACCGGUGGAGUUUUGGAAGUUCGUUGGAGAGGCUGGUGUAAGGUGGUUGACUGCAUUGUUCAAUGAAAUUUUCAGGACGGCAAAGAUGCCCGAGGCGUGGAGGUGGAGUACCAUGAUCCCCCUCUAUAAGAAUAAGGGGGACAUUCAGUGUUGCAAUAACUAUAGGGGGAUUAAGUUACUGAGUCACUCUAUGAAGAUAUGGGAGAGAGUGGUCGAGGUGAGGCUGAGACGGAUAGUGUCUAUUUCGGAAAACCAGUUCGGAUUUAUGCCCGGCCGCUCGACGACGGAGGCAAUCCACCUGGUACGGAGGUUGGUGGAGCAGUAUAGGGAGAGGAAGAAGGAUCUGCACAUGGUGUUCAUCGACCUGGAAAAGGCGUACGACAAAGUCCCCAGGGAAGUGCUUUGGAGAUGCUUGGAGGUGAGUGGAGUACCGCAGGCAUAUAUCAGAGUAAUUAAGGAUAUGUAUGAGGGAGCGAAAACCCAGGUGAGGACGGCGGGAGGAGACUCAGAGCAUUUCACUGUCCUGACAGGAUUGCAUCAGGGAUCUACUCUUAGUCCCUUUUUGUUUGCGUUAGUAAUGGAUGUGUUGACGCGGCGUAUCCAAGGGGAGGUGCCGUGGUGUAUGCUUUUUGCAGACGAUGUAGUCCUGAUAGAUGAGACUCGAGGGGGUGUGAAUGACAAAUUAGAGUUGUGGAGGCAAACUCUGGAGUCUAAAGGGUUCAGGGUGAGCAGAACCAAGACAGAGUAUGUGGAAUGUAAGUUUAAUGACGUGAGGCGGGAGAAUGAGGUAGUAGUGAGGCUAGAAGCACAGGAGGUAGGGAAGAGGGAUAAGUUCAAGUAUCUCGGGUCCGUGAUCCAGAGUAACGGUGAGAUUGACGAGGAUGUCUCGCACCGUAUUGGGGCGGGAUGGAUGAAGUGGAAACUCGCAUCGGGGGUGCUGUGUGAUAAGAAGGUGCCGCCCAAGCUUAAAGGCAAAUUCUAUAGGGUGGUAGUCCGUCCGGCCUUGCUGUAUGGAGCGGAGUGUUGGCCAGUUAAGAACUCCCACAUCCAAAAAAUGAAGGUGGCAGAAAUGCGGAUGUUGCGCUGGCUGUGUGGGCUGACUAGAGGGGAUAGAGUUCGGAAUGAGACUAUCCGGGAGAAGGUUGGUGUGACUCCAGUGGAGUGCAAGAUGCGGGAAGCCCGAUUGAGAUGGUUCGGACACGUGAAGAGGAGGGGCAUCCGGUUCGUAGGUGUGAGAGGCUAGCGUUGGAUUGUUUUAGGUGAGGUAGGGGUAGGCCGAAGAAGUACUGGGGUGAGGUGAUUAGGCGGGACAUGGAGCAGUUACAGCUCACCGAGGACAUGACCCUAGAUAGGAAGGUCUGGAGGACGCGAAUUAGGGCAGAAGACUAGGGCCGGUUUGGGUCGCUAAUGUAGGGAAUUACUUGGUGGGGGUUUUAUUCUUGUUAUGAUUCCGUGUUCCAUGUUUUAUUACGAAUCUGUGUGCUUUCCUCUGUUUUCUAAUACUUAUGGGUGCCGUAUUUAUGUUAUGUAAUCUAGUUCUGUACUAUGAGUUUGUGUGGUAUCUCGUGACUUGAGCCGGGGGUCUAUCGGAAACAGCCUUUCUACUUCUUUAGAGGUAGAGGUAUGGACUGCGUACAUCUUACCCUCCCCAGACCCCACUAGGUGGGAAUACACUGGGUUUGUUGUUGUUGAAAAAAGAUGGGUUCCAAUUUCAAUAUGAUAGCAUGAAGGUUUACUGUUAAUUUCUAAAAUUCUCAGUUAAGGACCUGAAGAGGUGAUAUCAGAUUAAGAUAGAAAUCGUGUUAAACUCAAAGUUUGACAGUAUCAUGUAAAGAAAGGUUGAGAUCAUUGGCCUUCUUUGGCAUUUCUUACUGUCAAGUUGAAAAAUUCCCAUACUUCCGGUAUGUGUCGUAUCAGUUCAAUGAAAAGGACGACAUCUUUUGUAGGAGAUAUCUUAAAAUUACUGUUUCACGGAGAAGCAUCAGUUUGCAACUUAUGCCAAUGUAUUGAAUAUGUGCAUUCUUUAGGUAUGGGGGCAAUUUUAUUUGUGGGAAAUAUUUUCAUUUGUUCAGUUUUAAACGCAUAGCAUUAACAAGAGCUUUCUGCGUCCUGCGUGAUCUUAAUUCUAGAUGUCAUGACUUAUUUUCCUUUUUGAGAUUGAUUUGCUUCUCUGAUUGUUGUUAAUUGGUAGUUUUACUUAUUUUGUAAAAGAGAUUUGGC